UACGGGGGGGGCAAGCGUUGUUCGGAAUUACUGGGCGUAAAGGGCUCGUAGGCGGCCAACUAAGUCAGACGUGAAAUCCCUCGGCUUAACCGGGGAACUGCGUCUGAUACUGGAUGGCUUGAGUUUGGGAGAGGGAUGCGGAAUUCCAGGUGUAGCGGUGAAAUGCGUAGAUAUCUGGAGGAGCACCGGUGGCGCAGGCGGCAUCCUGGACCAACACUGACACUGAGGAGCGAAAGCCAGGGGAGCAAACGGG
This 253-nucleotide ribosomal RNA is filed under the name uncultured bacterium. RNAcentral's name for it is "partial 16S ribosomal RNA". It matches the Rfam family "Bacterial small subunit ribosomal RNA", at positions 524 to 776 of the family's 1533-position model. The record is from RNAcentral.